Molecule: transfer RNA, 74 nt
Filed under: Pseudomonadota bacterium
Lineage: Bacteria; Pseudomonadati; Pseudomonadota
Also listed under: 1 other name
Description: tRNA-Trp
Rfam family: tRNA
About the family: Transfer RNA (tRNA) molecules are approximately 80 nucleotides in length. Their secondary structure includes four short double-helical elements and three loops (D, anti-codon, and T loops). Further hydrogen bonds mediate the characteristic L-shaped molecular structure. tRNAs have two regions of fundamental functional importance: the anti-codon, which is responsible for specific mRNA codon recognition, and the 3' end, to which the tRNAs corresponding amino acid is attached (by aminoacyl-tRNA synthetases). tRNAs cope with the degeneracy of the genetic code in two manners: having more than one tRNA (with a specific anti-codon) for a particular amino acid; and 'wobble' base-pairing, i.e. permitting non-standard base-pairing at the 3rd anti-codon position.
Source: RNAcentral
AGGCGCGUAGCUCAACCAGGUAGAGCACCGGUCUCCAAAACCGGCGGUUGGGGGUUCGAAUCCCUCCGCGCCUG